GUGAGGCGUACGCAGGAGAAGGCGUCCUUGAGAUCUAGUACUCACCGGGAGAGGCGGAGAGGCGGGUAUAGCUUGGGCGGUUCGGCUGGAGCCGGAUCCUGGAAGUGUUGGCCAGAGGCUUCUGUCACCGGGAUUCGAGCCUGCGGAGGUGGUGGCUCUAUGACCUCGGGGAGAGCUGGCGGAGGAGCAGCGGCUGCUGCAGGAACUUCACCUGGCCCUGGAUCGGGAAUUAAGGCGGCCUCCGGUCCUGGUGGAGCACUGGGAGGCAGGCGCGUCAUUAUCCAGCAUGCGGGGAGGGGGUCAGGUCGUCCCGUCCAAAUCCUGUAGAAUUUCCUUUUUUAUCAUCAGUCAAUUUUUGUGCCAUUAAUAUUUUUCCCUUUCCCUUCUGGAUACAGAACCUUGUCCAAGUAGGAGGGUCUUGAGCUAACCCUAGCCAUGAGUCAAUGUAUGGAUAUUGAUCCGGGUGUCCUGGCUCUCCUGUGACUACUGUAUAGACUGCUUCCACUAUUUUUAAGUCCAUGGUGUUCCCUGGCAGCCAUCCUACUCCCACAGGGGGCCAUUCGACCUCACGGAGUAUGUGGAGGCGGUUAGGCUUCAUCUUCACCCCACAGUCUCCUCCUAAUCCCUCCUUUAAUUUUUAAUCCUGCGCUCCAAUACGGCUGCCUUAGAUUCACUUCCCCCCAUCUUGUUUACCUUCUCAGACCUUCUCCUACUUUUCGUUCUGUCUACGAAGUUCUCGGUACCCUAUGUACUUCUGAUACUUCCACUCAAUCAAACACUUAAAUUGCCAUUCUGCCUCCGUCCUAACUGGGGUGAGAAGAGCCUUACCUGCCAGAUCCCAGAGGGAGAAGGGGGAUCGGCGUGUCUUCACCUGCCGGUCAGCACAGCCGAACCAGAACACCACGUGGUCCAAGACUGUUUCUCCCUUAACUUUCAAAGUCUGUUCUGCUUUGGUGGACUUGAUCAGGCACUAAACACAGAGUUCAGAGUCCAUUGGAAAGGUGGCCGAGCAUGAUCAGCAUGAACAGGCCUAAGAUGGAGUCCUAUGAAUUCCUUCUUCAGUCUUAUAUGAUUUUACACAGGGUGGUGGUGAUGAAAGCAAAUCCACAUUUUAAGGCAAGACGAGAAAAAUGUAAACAAACAUCACCAGCAUCAGAACGCUCUCAUCUUGUGAUCAAGGAGCUGAGCUGUCACUUCCGCCAGGAGGGAAAAGGCCCACGCUGCCCAUCGCAGAUCUGUGCAUGGUCGCUAUACAGGAUACAGCACAGCCCAGAACUUUCAGAAACCCGGGUCACGGCGCCACCCUAGCACAGUCCCGUUACAGCACGCUUUGAGCGUUCUUGCUUCCACGCUCAGAGGUUCUGCAGCCAAUAUGUGUGGAGGGCGUCCCCAGACACCGGCGGUUCUCAGACACAGUUGGGUCAGCUCAAGCCAGUCCUGACUCCAUCUCCCUGGACGCAGCGAGACUUCGCCCCCAAGAGACUCCCACUUCAGACACCAGCUGGCGGUCCUCAGUGGAGCCCUGUUCUGCCACUGUCUCCCUCAGGUUAAGGGUGUGGUCCUGAGAGGCUCUCCCCGCCCCCAGCCUCAGGUGGGCAUGUGUGGUCCUGACCCACCAGCUGCAGAGCAGAGCGACUCCCGCCACCCUCGCCGACCACCCCGCCACAACCCUCUCUGCAGGUCCAGUUACUUUGCCAGAGGAGCUCACAGAAUUCAGGAACACUUUACUUGCUAGAUCGGAGGUUUUUUCCUUAUAUUAAUAAAAGGGUGUGACUCAGGAACAUGCAGGUGGAAGAGACACAGUGGC
Molecule: long non-coding RNA, 1807 nt
Organism: Bos taurus (domestic cattle)
Lineage: Eukaryota; Metazoa; Chordata; Mammalia; Artiodactyla; Bovidae
Source: Ensembl